CACGCCGUAAACGAUGAAUACUAGGUGUCGGGGGUCGAACCUCGGUGCCGCAGUUAACACAAUAAGUAUUCCGCCUGGGGAGUACGAUCGCAAGAUUAAAACUCAAAGGAAUUGACGGGG
Molecule: ribosomal RNA, 120 nt
Filed under: uncultured bacterium
Lineage: Bacteria
Description: partial 16S ribosomal RNA
Rfam family: Bacterial small subunit ribosomal RNA
Source: RNAcentral